RNAcentral lists this ribosomal RNA (513 nucleotides) under uncultured bacterium. RNAcentral describes it as "partial 16S ribosomal RNA". It matches the Rfam family "Bacterial small subunit ribosomal RNA", at positions 28 to 507 of the family's 1533-position model. The record is from RNAcentral.
GACGAACGCUGGCGGCGUGCUUAACACAUGCAAGUCGAACGAGAGCGUAGAGAAAGCUUGCUUUUUCUACAAUCUAGUGGCAAACGGGUGAGUAACGCGUAAACAACCUGCCCUACGGAUGGGGACAACAGCUGGAAACGGCUGCUAAUACCGAAUACGUUCCGAAAGUCGCAUGACUAUCGGAAGAAAGGAUGGCCUCUAUUUAUAAGCUAUCGCCGGAGGAGGGGUUUGCGUCUGAUUAGCUAGUUGGAGGGGGAACGGCCCACCAAGGCGACGAUCAGUAGCCGGUCUGAGAGGAUGAACGGCCACAUUGGAACUGAGACACGGUCCAGACUCCUACGGGAGGCAGCAGUGGGGAAUCUUCCGCAAUGGGCGAAAGCCUGACGGAGCAACGCCGCGUGAGUGAAGACGGCCUUCGGGUUGUAAAGCUCUGUUAUACGGGACGAAUAAUCUUGUGGUUAAUACCCAUGAGAAGUGACGGUACCGUAAGAGAAAGCCACGGCUAACUACGUG